AUCUAUAUAGUAUAAAAAGUAUUUUUGACUUCCAAUCUUAUAGUCUAUCAAAGAUAGUGUAGAUA
This 65-nucleotide transfer RNA is filed under the name Muscina pascuorum. RNAcentral describes it as "tRNA-Gly". Lineage: Eukaryota; Metazoa; Arthropoda; Insecta; Diptera; Muscidae. The record is from RNAcentral.